RNAcentral lists this ribosomal RNA (32 nucleotides) under Musa acuminata subsp. microcarpa. Its description in RNAcentral is "partial 26S ribosomal RNA". The record is from RNAcentral. Lineage: Eukaryota; Viridiplantae; Streptophyta; Magnoliopsida; Zingiberales; Musaceae.
GCGACCCUAGGUCAGGUGGGGCUACCCGCUGA